CCUACGGCAGGCAGCAGUGGGGAAUAUUGGACAAUGGGCGAAAGCCUGAUCCAGCCAUGCCGCGUGUGUGAAGAAGGCCUUCGGGUUGUAAAGCACUUUCAGUGGGGAAGAAAGCCUUGGGGCUAAUACCCUCGAGGAAGGACAUCACCCACAGAAGAAGCACCGGCUAACUCCGUGCCAGCAGCCGCGGUAAUACGGAGGGUGCGAGCGUUAAUCGGAAUUACUGGGCGUAAAGCGCGCGUAGGCGGUCUGAUAAGCCGGUUGUGAAAGCCCCGGGCUCAACCUGGGAACGGCAUCCGGAACUGUCAGGCUAGAGUGCAGGAGAGGAAGGUAGAAUUCCCGGUGUAGCGGUGAAAUGCGUAGAGAUCGGGAGGAAUACCAGUGGCGAAGGCGGCCUUCUGGACUGACACUGACGCUGAGGUGCGAAAGCGUGGGUAGCAAACAGGAUUAGAUACCCCUGUAGUC
Molecule: ribosomal RNA, 465 nt
Filed under: Vreelandella stevensii
Lineage: Bacteria; Pseudomonadati; Pseudomonadota; Gammaproteobacteria; Oceanospirillales; Halomonadaceae
Description: partial 16S ribosomal RNA
Rfam family: Bacterial small subunit ribosomal RNA
Source: RNAcentral